Molecule: long non-coding RNA, 3838 nt
Organism: Clupea harengus (Atlantic herring)
Lineage: Eukaryota; Metazoa; Chordata; Actinopteri; Clupeiformes; Clupeidae
Source: Ensembl
UGUGUUAGUUGCAGCACCCCCUUAUGGACAAAAAGUCAUGACAUUUGGCUUACAUCCAAAGAACGUGGUAGUGAAUAAUUCAUUAAUUUAAGUUAUUUGGUCAUUAGGUCCAAUCACGCAGGGCUAUAGCCCCUAAUAUAGCCCUGAAUAUUUUUACCCUGAAAAUGGAGGUGUGAAUAGCAGAACGGGUAACAGAGUUGAACUUGACUUGCGAUGUCCAAGGAGAGGGGAGUAAUCAAGUGCUGCACACAAAGCUGGAGGAAGUGCACACUCAGAUGAAAAGCUCUUGUUAAAAAAAAAAAUGGGUAUUUCAAGAGGCUGGAAGAAGUGCAGACUGAAAUGAAAAUGAAAAGAAAACUCAUAAAUUAUGUAGCAUGGGUAUUAUACCAUGUAUCAAAUUAUAUUGAUGCCAAAGAAAUUACACGACUAUACAGCAACCCAAUCUAGAUAGCCAUUACACCAAUAAUAAGCCUAUGGUGAACUGACGGCCGUCUGUUGUGUAAAAAAAAAGUAAAAAGUGAAAAGUCAGGCUGGGUCAAGGUAUGCCAGGCCACUAGGAACCAGACAAACAGACACAGCUUCUGCCUGUGGUAUUAGUCUCCUUUUGUCCAUUAAUGUGCUAUUUGUUGGCAAUUCAAAUCCAUUAAUAUAGCUUAUUGCAUCAUGUGUUGAUGUGGUGUGACUCCUGUAGGCAAUCUACAGGUAUUAAAUAUGUCAAAUAAGCACAGGGUAGAUAGACAGUGAGUUGCUUCUUGCUGUGCGCGCUGCACACGUCAGGGAGUUUCAUGAUCCAUCCAUGCUCACUCUCUCACUCAGUGCAGAAUGCAGUACGAGUAAUUGUCACUUCUUCUUCAUAUUUACAUGUGGACAAAUAAAUAGUAUCUAUUUGGUGUUAAUGUGAAUCGGGUUUUUUUUUCAGACCCUUAUUUGCAUGAUUUUAAUAACUUCUGAUUAGAUGAUUAAUGCAUCUUUAUAUACUUAUGGGUUUGGACACUUAGAAAACAGGCCAAAGGCAGCAACCUUACAUUUAGCUACUUUAUAAUAAAGGUCCAGCAAAGAAUGAUUCACAUUAAAACAAAAUAAAUGUACUAUUCAUUAAUGCAGAGGUAGAAGAGGAAGAGAAAAGAAUAAAGUUGUGAUCAUUAAGUAAAAUUAUGAAUUCUCUGCAAGUAAGGGUCUAUGAUUACAUGCAAUUACAUAUAUAACUAUCUUAAUUGAUUUAUUUAUUCAUUAUUGAUAGAUCACUUCCAAUAAUGACAAGAACAGUAUUUAGUAAUACCAAUGAGCUACAUUUAUAAUUAUUACAAAAUCAUCAACAAACUAUUUGGCAAUGACAAACUAUUUGUAAAUGGCAAAAAUGCAAAUGAAAUGAAACUGUACAGUAUUUGCUCUCUUGAACCUUGAUCAAUAGGACUUAAAGAUGCAACUACAGACCUGUCAUUAACACCACUUCAUGAGACAUCACACAAUGGUAUCUAAUAUAUUUAAGGUCAUAUUAAGGAACAUUUCAGCAGUGUUAACUGUUGACUAGCUGUGAAGAUUCACGCUGGUUAAUAGUCUGGAAAUUAAGGUGAUAAAAUGUUUUUAAAAUUCUCUUGCCAAGCUUUGCUCUGUGUAUUUUCCCCACUCCCCUCCUCUUUUCCCUAUCUCAUGAUACCUUUCAUUAUAUCAAUUAUUUGUGCAUCUCGCUUAUUUAUUUCAGGGUCACGGAGAACAGUGUUGAUCUUGGCGGUGACUAGCCUGUGCAUUGUCCUGACUGGCGUGUCAGCACUCUGUCUCAUCUGGACAUGUCGUAUGUGAUGAUCAUGACAUUUCAUUCAUAGAAUAGCUCUAGGAAAAAUUUGCUUUAUGUUUUAUAGGCACCUGGUUUUGUUAUCAUCUUGAAAUUCAUUUUGAUGCAUUGUGGUCAUAUGACGGACAGGUAAAGACUCCUGUCAUUUGCACUAGUCUAGAAGCCUAGGCUAUGCACUGUGUGGUUUGAUUAACAUUGCCAACUAUAUCUCCAAAGGUCACCAGCUGGCACAUUAGCAAGCUUUUAUUGGUCAGAUGUGCUGUUGUUAGUGUUUACAAGGUUUUUGCAUGUCUCAGGAGUUUUAGACCAAAACAGAGACAGAGUAAGAUCCUAUAUGUUUUCACACUCACCUUAUGUGUAGCCUAUGUACUGGGAGGAACAUGUUAAUUUACAGACUAUUUUAUUUGUGCUUCAGAGAAUCCCCCGGACAUUAUGCCUGCACAUAGUACAAUUACAACUGUUGUAACCUACACCAUGAUCACCUCAACACCCCUGACUGUAGCUCCAGGUAAAACAAGAUUAUUUUCAUUUAUUUUCAUUUACAAAGAAGAGUUCUACUAACCUGAGGUCUGUAUUACUUGGCACAUCUUGAAGACAUCCUGAUUAAAAUUACACAGUGUAUGUUUGCAGAAGUCAGGAGUAAGUGUGGAGAAGUAUUUAAUAAGAUGCAAAAUAUGAUCAAUCCUCCAUUGAUGCUCAUUCUCAUAUGUUGUCUCUGCCACACACACACUCACACAAAACCCUCUAAAAUAUGCAGAUUUCCUCUUACAGUAUGAAGAAGCUAGUACCAUGCAUAUGACAAUUACAGUUUGACUCUGUUCAUUAAAUCUUUCAGAUGUUGACAAAAUGGAAGACAUUUUCUCUGAACAGGAUGAUGUGAGUGCACUAUGUGCAAAGUACUGUGCUAUGGAUGUAUAGCGAAAAUCAAUAGCUUUUCAUUCAGAUUAAUUUAUGGGGCCUUCAGAUAUGUUAAGCUGUGUUUAUCGCUACUGCUGUUGUUCAGUAUUGAUAUGAUGGUUGUAGUGUACCCUGUUGUGUUAUAAUCCUUAAGCAAAGUUGUUGGCUACGAGUACUUGGAUGGAUAAUGAGAGGUUUAGCUGCUGUGGGAAGUCCCCAACCAAUAGCACAAGUAAUUUAACAUCUACUAGAAAUACUGUAUUUACUAUGUGUGCCAGUAAAAGGCCAUAAACUACUUUUAUUAUAGUUUAUUAAACCUUUAGUUAAAUGUGUAGUCUUUUUUUAUCUAACCCACUUGUGCUCUCUCCCAGGCAAACCAGUAUAAUACAGUUACAUACAUCUUGGUGCAGGACCACAGGAGCCCUGUUGUCACACAACAGGACAUGACCUACAACCUUAUGCAGAUGCACUGAUACAGAUGCACAUACUGUGUAACUGGAUAUUAUCUAAAUAUAAACUGUUAACAAAUGAUUAUUUUAAAAUGUAUGUGGUUUCAGCAUUGGUUAACACACAGCAUUUAUUAUGAUUUAAAAUGCUUGUGUUGUGUUUAUAUAGUGUUUGUUUAUAGUAUGUGUAGUGUAUAAAGUAUAGCAUAUAUAGUGUUUUGGAUGCCUGCAUAUAAAGAAAAUAACUACAAUGACUAUGGUCUAUUGAGGGUUUAAUGGACACCUUAUCCAGUGAAAUUUCUGUUGUAUUUUAGCUACAAUGUAAAGAUUUCAGGAGGCAAGUUGAAUACCGGUUUGCGGGAUAUAGGCAGAUUUACUAACGGUAAAUACAUUCUUAAAUAAGCCACGGCCACAUAUGCAUGUCCCAAAAUUGCCCAAAAUUACUGUCUCUAUGAGUCCGUCUGCCAAUUAGUUGAGUAUUUUCAUCAAAUGUUACAUCAUUAGGCUAGUUAUUAUUGUUAGACUUUUAGAUAAGAAAUGUAAACUUUGGAAUGUAUUAUUUAUUUAGAAAUCCAGAUAAUGUUGCUUGGUUCUCUGUAUGUCUUAAUAAAAUGAAAUAAAAUAAAAAAAAUAAAAUCUGAAUAAAAUGGUUAUUUAAAGUGGUACUGUAAGUGUGCCGCCUCCGUCUGAAUGAACAAAAGCC